GAUGAACGCUAGCGACAGGCCUAACACAUGCAAGUCGAGGGGCAUCGGGGCGUAGCAAUACGCUGCCGGCGACCGGCGGAUGGGUGAGUAACGCGUAUGCAACCUACCUUCAGCAGGGGGAUAGCCCGUUGAAAGACGGAUUAAUACCCCAUAACACAGGGGCUCCGCAUGGAGAUUAUUGUUAAAGGGAUGCUUCCUUCGGGGAGUAUUCCGGCUGCAGAUGGGCAUGCGUUCCAUUAGGUAGUUGGUUGAGGUAACGGCUCACCAAGCCUACGAUGGAUAGGGGAACUGAGAGGUUGGUCCCCCACACUGGUACUGAGACACGGACCAGACUCCUACGGGAGGCAGCAGUGAGGAAUCUUGGUCAAUGGACGGAAGUCUGAACCAGCCCUGUCGCGUGAAGGAGGACGGCCCUAAGGGUUGUAAACUUCUUUUGCAGGGGAAUAAAGUAUUCCACGAGAUGGGAUAUUGCAAGUACGCUGCGAAUAAGGAUCGGCUAACUCCGUGCCC
Molecule: ribosomal RNA, 510 nt
Filed under: uncultured bacterium
Lineage: Bacteria
Description: bacterial SSU rRNA
Rfam family: Bacterial small subunit ribosomal RNA
Source: RNAcentral